ACGGAAGGCAGCAGUGAGGAAUAUUGGUCAAUGGACGCAAGUCUGAACCAGCCAUGCCGCGUGCAGGAAUAAGGCCCUAUGGGUCGUAAACUGCUUUUGUGGUGGAGCAAUAAGUCGUACGUGUACGGCGAUGAGAGUACAUCACGAAUAAGCAUCGGCUAACUCCGUGCCAGCAGCCGCGGUAAUACGGAGGAUGCAAGCGUUAUCCGGAUUUAUUGGGUUUAAAGGGUGCGUAGGCUGUGGUCCAAGUCAGGGGUGAAAGCCCGGAGCUCAACUCCGGAACUGCCUUUGAUACUGGAUUGCUGGAAUACGGAUGCCGUGGGAGGAAUGAGUAGUGUAGCGGUGAAAUGCGUAGAUAUUACUCAGAACACCGAUUGCGAAGGCAUCUCACGAAUCCGUCAUUGACGCUGAGGCACGAAAGCGUGGGGAUCAAACAGGAUUAGAUACCCUGGUA
This 454-nucleotide ribosomal RNA is filed under the name uncultured Rikenellaceae bacterium. Its description in RNAcentral is "partial 16S ribosomal RNA". It matches the Rfam family "Bacterial small subunit ribosomal RNA", at positions 341 to 792 of the family's 1533-position model. Lineage: Bacteria; Pseudomonadati; Bacteroidota; Bacteroidia; Bacteroidales; Rikenellaceae. The record is from RNAcentral.